GAGACUGGCAGCUGAGAGAUACCAAAAGGAAGAAAAAAGAAAACCAUUGCUCUUGAUAUUGCUAAUGCCGGGGGAGGUAAGCUAACGAGAAAGUAGGGAAAAGGAAGGUUUUAGAGUUCACCUCCACUCCUUCCCCUGGCUAACACUCUUUACACUCUUCUGCCUUCCCUUGAGAUAAUUAAAAUAGACUGUACACCGGCCCUAGUCGGUGCCCAUUCCCCCUAACUCUUCACUCAACUACGUGUGUAGUCCGAGGGAGUGAGGACCCCGGGUCCAAGAGCUCAAUCCCGGCCCCGCCCCGUCGGCCCAGGCCCCGGGGCUGGGAGGAGAGGAUGCCUUCGGAGGCGCAGAAUCCGAAAAUUUUUCUGCAUCCCUUUAAGUCUAUGUGUGUGAUUUCAUGUGAGAUGGAUUUCUUGAA
Molecule: long non-coding RNA, 418 nt
Filed under: Homo sapiens (human)
Lineage: Eukaryota; Metazoa; Chordata; Mammalia; Primates; Hominidae
Description: non-protein coding lnc-KLF8-4:7
Source: RNAcentral